Solanum lycopersicum (tomato) is the source of this 2256-nucleotide long non-coding RNA. RefSeq lists it as uncharacterized. The record is from RefSeq and is a predicted model, not a curated record. Lineage: Eukaryota; Viridiplantae; Streptophyta; Magnoliopsida; Solanales; Solanaceae.
CAAGCUAGCAGUCCAUAGAAAACACAAAAAGGAAACAAAAAAUUACAAUCCCUAAAAAUAGGGUUUUCUCUUAGUGAAAGCUCAGAACAGCAACAGCAGCUCAGUGAGAACUGCCGUCUAUCAAGUAAAAUUUUGAUUACUCUUGUCUCCUCCUUUCGUUCGCCCAUCUCAGGUGAAAUGUGAAAUUGCUCGUCUCCUUCAUCCUCAGGUGAAAGUUGACCUCUAUCUUUGAUAAUUUCUCUUUUUUCAUAUGUUCGGUGAGCUUCUAGUGCGGUGAAGAGGAGAUGUUGACUUCUAUUUGGUGAAAAACAACUGAGGGAAUAGGAUGGGGUUUUCAGGGAUAUGCCAAAAUUAACGUAGUGCAUUGGCUUGCUUCUACUUUGCUCUAAUUUCUGAUUUUGAAAAUUUUUCAGAUUUUUUUUAGUCUCUAACCUUGCUUGCUUAUGCUUUGCUCGACGAAAUUCUCGAUAUCGCGAAAUAACGGUGAUAAGAAUUUUUUAAGCUUUUCACUUUCUGGUCGCUGCUCGGAGAAAGGUAAAUCAUCUGGUGUAUGUGAAGCUUGAAGAAAGACGUAGACAUCCGAUUGCAAAGAUUGUAUCCAUCCCAUGAUACAGUUGCCGACAUGAGAUGACAUCAUGAGCAUACAAAAGAAGAUGGUGUAAUGAUUCAUACAUCAGAAUUUGAGGCUUGGAAGCACUUAAAUGACACUGAUCCUUUUUCUGCUAAAGAACCAAGAAAUGUAAGGGCCAAACAAUCCCAAACAUAAAAUUGAUGUUUAUUUGCAGCCUCUAAUAAAGGACUUGACUUUGUUCUGGGAGACGAGCGUGCAAUCAUUUUACAUCUCAAAAAACUUUCAACUAAGGGCAGCUUUGAUGUGGACAAUCACUGACUAUCCAUCAUAUUAUAUGUUAUCAAGAUGUACAACUGUAGGUAAGUUAGCAUGUCCCUUUUGUAUGGAGGAAACAGAAUCCUUUAUAUUGACACAUCGUAGGAUAACAUCUUGGUUUGUCUGUCAUCGGAUGUUUCUUGACCAGCAUCACCCAUUUAGGAGAGAUCAUAAAAAUUAUCUCAAAGGCAAGCUGUCCAAAGAUGACCAUGGACCUAUAGAAUAUGAGAGGAAAUAUUGAAUCAAAUUUGUGAUUUGGACAUAAGAAAAGCAAUAGAUUUAGAUGCAGAACAAGUCAAUCGAAUAAUAUGCAAGUCUUGUGGAUGGAAAAAGUGAAGCAUCUUUUGUGAUUUGCCUUAUUGGAGUUCUAACAUGAUUCAACAUAAUCUUGAUGUCAUGCAUAUUGAUAAAAUGUCUUUGAUAAUGUAUUUAACACUGUUACUUUUAAUGACAAAACCAAAGACAAUUCACAAUCACGUCAACAUACGGUAGAGUAUUGUAAUCGACAUUAAUUGGUAAAGGAUAGUAAGGGAAAUAUUCCAAAGCUGUAUAUACGAUAGAUAAGGAAGCAAGAGUUAUCUUGUUAAAUUGGGUGAAAGGUGUAAAGUCUCCAGAUGGUUAUGUUCCCAAUUUGGGUAGAUGUCCAGAAAAAAAUGUGAAAAGGAUAAAUGGCUUUAAAAGUUAUUAUUUUCAUGUGUUCAUGCGAUGAAUAUUGUAUAUUACCUUUCGCGAACUACAUCUUAUUAAUGUGUGGCAAGUACUUAAAGAAUUGAGCCUAUUUUUGAAAGAUCUUAUAUCUACAACUCUACGAGUUGAUGACACGGAGAUAUUAGAGAGAGACAACGCACAAAUCUUGUGCAAGUUAGAAUGUAUAGUUCCUCCCAGAUUCUUUGGCUCAAUUGAACAUCUUCCUGUACACCUUCCACAUAAAGCAAGGAUAGUUGGACCUCUACAAUGUCGAUGGAUGUACCCUUUUAAAAGGUAUCUAUGAACUCUUACAAGGAUGAUUGGAAAUAAAGCUAGUGUUGAGGGUUCCAUUUGUGAAGCAUACUUGACGACAUAGUCAAACAACUGUUUUCUCAUUAUUUUGAACCUCAUGUCAUGACACGUAAUCAUACCGUAGACCAUAGUGAUGAUGGUGGAGAUAAGGAAGAUAUUGAAGGAAAUUUAUCAACAUUCUCCCUUCAAAGUCUACUAUGGGGAGAAGCAAAAAAAAAGGAUUUAUCCCUCGAAGAAACAAAGGUUGCCAAAACUUAUACCUUACUAAAUUGUGAGGAGGUUGAGACAUUUGUAAUGUAAUAGAAGUUAAUUUUAUUUUCUUAAUAAUAUAACAAUAUCCUUAAAUCACGAGUUUUAAAUUGAACUUAUUU